CCUACGGGAGGCAGCAGUGGGGAAUUUUGGACAAUGGGCGAAAGCCUGAUCCAGCCAUGCCGCGUGAGUGAAGAAGGCCUUCGGGUUGUAAAGCUCUUUCAGCUGGAAAGAAAACGCUUGGGAUAAUACCCCAGGCGGAUGACGGUACCAGCAGAAGAAGCACCGGCUAACUACGUGCCAGCAGCCGCGGUAAUACGUAGGGUGCGAGCGUUAAUCGGAAUUACUGGGCGUAAAGCGUGCGCAGGCGGUUAUGUAAGACAGAUGUGAAAUCCCCGGGCUCAACCUGGGAACUGCGUUUGUGACUGCAUAACUAGAGUACGGCAGAGGGAGGUGGAAUUCCACGUGUAGCAGUGAAAUGCGUAGAGAUGUGGAGGAACACCGAUGGCGAAGGCAGCCUCCUGGGCCAGUACUGACGCUCAUGCACGAAAGCGUGGGGAGCAAACAGGAUUAGAUACCCGAGUAGUCC
This 466-nucleotide ribosomal RNA is filed under the name uncultured Zoogloea sp. RNAcentral's name for it is "bacterial SSU rRNA". It matches the Rfam family "Bacterial small subunit ribosomal RNA", at positions 338 to 796 of the family's 1533-position model. Lineage: Bacteria; Pseudomonadati; Pseudomonadota; Betaproteobacteria; Rhodocyclales; Zoogloeaceae. The record is from RNAcentral.